UAGGGAAUCUUCCGCAAUGGGCGAAAGCCUGACGGAGCAACGCCGCGUGAGUGAUGAAGGUCUUCGGAUCGUAAAACUCUGUUAUUAGGGAAGAACAAAUGUGUAAGUAACUAUGCACGUCUUGACGGUACUUAACCAGAAAGGGACGGCUAACUACGUGCCAGCAGCCGCGGUAAUACGUAGGUCCCGAGCGUUGUCCGGAUUUAUUGGGCGUAAAGCGAGCGCAGGCGGUUAGAUAAGUCUGAAGUUAAAGGCAGUGGCUCAACCAUUGUAGGCUUUGGAAACUGUUUAACUUGAGUGCAGAAGGGGAGAGUGGAAUUCCAUGUGUAGCGGUGAAAUGCGUAGAUAUAUGGAGGAACACCGGUGGCGAAAGCGGCUCUCUGGUCUGUAACUGACGCUGAGGCUCGAAAGCGUGGGGAGCGAACAGG
Molecule: ribosomal RNA, 428 nt
Filed under: Bacteroidota bacterium
Lineage: Bacteria; Pseudomonadati; Bacteroidota
Description: Bacteroidetes bacterium partial 16S ribosomal RNA
Rfam family: Bacterial small subunit ribosomal RNA
Source: RNAcentral